Molecule: long non-coding RNA, 367 nt
Filed under: Danio rerio (zebrafish)
Lineage: Eukaryota; Metazoa; Chordata; Actinopteri; Cypriniformes; Danionidae
Description: si:ch211-196o14.5 (ENSDARG00000097270.2)
Source: RNAcentral
CAAUGAAUAAGAAGUGAUGCCUUCAGACUUCAAGUGUGAAGCAUGUCAGAUUGUAUUGUCUGUAAAUGUCCUCUUUAUUAAUUUUUCUGUUCAAUGACAACUUUCACAUUCCUCCUCAGCCAAUAGUGUGAGUUUGUGGCAUGGCUAGUGUACGAGGCAGGCUGAGCCAAAACAUGCAGCUCAAGCCAAAAAAUUGCAGAUUUGCCAAAACAUGAUCCGAACAGUGGGAGAAAACAAUGAUGUUCUUACAAGAUGAAGGAAUUUGAUGACAUGCUGGGUUAAGAGCUGAACUUGAGUUUCUUCUUAAAACGCUUACAUCAAGAAUGAAGAUGAUACCUACCAUAUUGAAGAAACAUAGACACCAAGC